UCAGUGAGGGCAGUGUCCCACAGGGGACCAAGUGCGAGGGACCCCAAAGCCUGGACCAUUGGCUGCCCUGCAGUUUAUCCUGGCCAAGAAUCGCCCAUCCUAUGGAGACAAGGUCGUGUUGUAAAGGAGUUGACCCCUCCAGCUCCCUGUCUCACCUGGACACCCACCUAGGAGGCCAGCCAGAGGCAAGAACCCCAGCCUCAGGGAAUGGAGAGAGGGUGAGGCAAGAUAAUCCACUAGUAAUCCGGGAUGUGGAAGGCAGAAGCCACAGCGCCCACCGAGAGGAUGUGGCUUGUGAGCUGUAAGGCGCAGAGAAAUUUAAAUAACAGAUGUUUAAACAACCUUCCCUGCAUGACGCUUGGUGCAGUGACCCCUCUGCUGUGAUGGGUUGCAGCUUAAAAAUAGCCCACAAUGAACCGCUCUGAGCCCCAA
Molecule: long non-coding RNA, 432 nt
Filed under: Rattus norvegicus (Norway rat)
Lineage: Eukaryota; Metazoa; Chordata; Mammalia; Rodentia; Muridae
Description: long non-coding RNA NONRATT028983
Source: RNAcentral